GUGAUUCUCUGUGUAAGC
RNAcentral lists this non-coding RNA (18 nucleotides) under Arabidopsis thaliana (thale cress). Lineage: Eukaryota; Viridiplantae; Streptophyta; Magnoliopsida; Brassicales; Brassicaceae. The record is from RNAcentral.